Molecule: ribosomal RNA, 46 nt
Filed under: Macropsychanthus sclerocarpus
Lineage: Eukaryota; Viridiplantae; Streptophyta; Magnoliopsida; Fabales; Fabaceae
Also listed under: 3 other names
Description: partial 26S large subunit ribosomal RNA
Source: RNAcentral
CGAGACCUCAGGUCAGGCGGGGUUACCCGCUGAGUUUAAGCAUAUC